AAUUUGGCCCUUUACCCCUGUUGGAGUCCUCCUAACGAUAUCUACCCACUCGAUUCUAAAUCUUUUUGUUUUGCCUUUUUAUUUUUUAAUAUUCCUAUAGUACCCUUUUGAAAUAUUAAAAACAAAUUAAACGAAAAGUCCAUUGUUCCCUUCUCUGUUUUUUUUUUUCUUUCACUUCCCUUCGAGUUAUACUCCUUCAAAAUCUUCACCGGCUCUUCUCUUCUCCUUCCUCACCCUUCCCCUAGAAACACUAGAUUUAGGGUUAGGGUUUGAGUUUUGAAUUUCCCAUUCAAACGUAAUUGACGACGGUGUAUAAGUAUUCAAAUGUGUGAGCAUUAGACGCUGAACUAAAGCGGUCAGAUCCCAAACAAAAUAAAAACAGAGAGAGAGAGGAAACAAUGAAGUAAUGGCAAGCAAGGAAGAGAGCGCAGUGAAGGAGACUGCUCUUGCCAAUCUUAUUGUAAGCUUUUUUUUGUCAUAGCUUAAAAAAAUGACCCACUGUGUUUUCAAUUUUGUUUUCAGUUAGGUAUUUACGCUAAUCUGAUCAUAUACCAAGAUAAUUCCUUGCAAGCAGUAUGGUCAAACAAUGAAAGUGGUCGAACACUUAUUAGGGUGGAUAUUGUUAAUUGAGGAUUUCAAUAUUUGACCCUCGUCCUGGAAUGGAUGGCAGUGAUGAGAAUUCAAUUGUAAAGUGGGUAAAGAUGGGUGCAUCACUUCACAGGUCUUCAAAAGGACAGGCAAUAGGGUUAAAACCUCCAUACCUUAUGAUGGGUGGAUAAAAUCCUUGAGGCAUUAAGAGGAUAUGACCACUAGAGGACUGGCUGUUAAUUGUUUAGGAGAAAAAAGCAGUUGCUUGUUUUUAUUCCUUAAAUUUAAAAUGAGCUCUCCUUGGUUUCCUCCAGAUGCAGGUAUCUGAGAUGAUGUGAGAGGUGUAGAAUAAGGCAGCAACACAAACAUGGAAAAGUUUGAAGUUUCUAUUUAACGUGAUUGCAUGCCAGCAGCAAUACAAUAUGUUGGAAUGUUUAACAUCCUGAACAGCUCAUAUCUGGUAGCUAGAUCAUUCUUUUGAAGUUAGUGAAGAGUAAUAAUUUUAUGGAAAGCCAGCUUUCCUACUUGUAUAUAUGUUUAUAAUUUUCCAAAGAUGAAGUUUUGAUAAUGACCCUACAUCUUUUUUACUGUGCCUUAACAAUGAGUUGUUACCACUCUUAGUAAAAUAAUGAACACUAGUGUAGUUAUGAUUCAUGUCCAAGUAGUAUUUGUUCCUUUUCAAUGAUGUUAUUGUAUAAUACUUCUGUACAUUGUAAGCAAAUAAUGGAAGCUCACUUUAAUAUGUUUUCUA
This is a long non-coding RNA of Ziziphus jujuba (common jujube), 1339 nucleotides long. RefSeq lists it as uncharacterized. The transcript has 4 exons. NCBI's taxonomy places the organism in Eukaryota, Viridiplantae, Streptophyta, Magnoliopsida, Rosales, Rhamnaceae. The record is from RefSeq and is a predicted model, not a curated record.